This 301-nucleotide ribosomal RNA is filed under the name uncultured bacterium. RNAcentral's name for it is "partial 16S ribosomal RNA". It matches the Rfam family "Bacterial small subunit ribosomal RNA", at positions 509 to 808 of the family's 1533-position model. The record is from RNAcentral.
CAGUCGCCGCGGGAAUACAGAGGGUGCGAGCGUUAAUCGGAUUUACUGGGCGUAAAGCGUGCGUAGGCGGCUUCUUAAGUCGGAUGUGAAAUCCCUGAGCUUAACUUAGGAAUUGCAUUCGAUACUGGGAAGCUAGAGUAUGGGAGAGGAUGGUAGAAUUCCAGGUGUAGCGGUGAAAUGCGUAGAGAUCUGGAGGAAUACCGAUGGCGAAGGCAGCCAUCUGGCCUAAUACUGACGCUGAGGUACGAAAGCAUGGGGAGCAAACAGGAUUGGAGACCCCCUAGUCCCUGUCUCUUAUACA